This 464-nucleotide ribosomal RNA is filed under the name uncultured bacterium. RNAcentral describes it as "partial 16S ribosomal RNA". It matches the Rfam family "Bacterial small subunit ribosomal RNA", at positions 28 to 506 of the family's 1533-position model. The record is from RNAcentral.
GACGGACGCUGGCGGCGUGCUUAACACAUGCAAGUCGAACGGAAAGGCCCCAGCUUGCUGGGGUACUCGAGUGGCGAACGGGUGAGUAACACGUGGGUGAUCUGCCCUGCACUCUGGGAUAAGCCUGGGAAACUGGGUCUAAUACCGGAUAGGACCGUGCUUUAGUGUGUGCGGUGGAAAGUUUUUCGGUGCAGGAUGAGCCCGCGGCCUAUCAGCUUGUUGGUGGGGUAAUGGCCUACCAAGGCGGCGACGGGUAGCCGGCCUGAGAGGGUGUACGGCCACAUUGGGACUGAGACACGGCCCAGACUCCUACGGGAGGCAGCAGUGGGGAAUAUUGCACAAUGGGCGCAAGCCUGAUGCAGCGACGCCGCGUGGGGGAUGACGGCCUUCGGGUGGUAAACCCCUUUCGGCAGGGACGAAGCUUUUGUGACGGUACCUGCAUAAGAAGCACCGGCUAACUACGU